GAUGAACGCUGGCGGCGUGCCUAAUACAUGCAAGUCGAGCGAACAGAUGCGGUGCUUGCUCCUCUGACGUUAGCGGCGGACGGGUGAGUAACACGUGGAUAACCUACCUAUCAGACUGGGAUAACUUCGGGAAACCGGAGCUAAUACCGGAUAAUAUAUUGAACCGCAUGGUUCAAUAGUGAAAGACGGUUUUGCUGUCACUUAUAGAUUGAUCCGCGCCGCAUUAGCUAGUUGGUAAGGUAACGGCUUACCAAGGCAACGAUGCGUAGCCGACCUGAGAGGGUGAUCGGCCACACUGGAACUGAGACACGGUCCAGACUCCUACGGGAGGCAGCAGUAGGGAAUCUUCCGCAAUGGGCGAAAGCCUGACGGAGCAACGCCGCGUGAGUGAUGAAGGUCUUCGGAUCGUAAAACUCUGUUAUUAGGGAAGAACAAGUGUGUAAGUAACUAUGCACGUCUUGACGGUACCUAAUCAGAAAGCCACGGCUAACUACGUG
Molecule: ribosomal RNA, 497 nt
Filed under: uncultured bacterium
Lineage: Bacteria
Description: partial 16S ribosomal RNA
Rfam family: Bacterial small subunit ribosomal RNA
Source: RNAcentral